UCUCUGCAACCUCCGCCUCUUGGGUUCAAGCUACUCUUAUGCCUCAGCCUCCGUCAAGCAGACGAAAUUUCCUCCUACUGAGGGAGGGUUGGCCUUUUUGUUCCAUUCAGGCUUUCAAUGGAUUGGAUGAGGCCUGGCCAUAUCAUAAUCCAUUUGGGACUUGACACUGUCAUCCACCAAAAAAGCAAAAUAUUUUCCCAUCUAGAAUCAAAGUAGAAAACCACUCUCACAGUUGGUUUGGGUUUUAAAGGCACACCAGUGGUUGAAAAAUGGUUUGUGGCAUUGCAAAUCCCUCUUUGUUUGUGUUCCCCAGCAGGUCCAGUGUGU
Molecule: long non-coding RNA, 327 nt
Filed under: Pan troglodytes (chimpanzee)
Lineage: Eukaryota; Metazoa; Chordata; Mammalia; Primates; Hominidae
Description: long non-coding RNA NONPTRT009472
Source: RNAcentral